UUGUACUUUUCAAAUGUUCUACAGGGAUAAGGUUUUCUGGCUAAAAGGCUAUUAGGAAACCCGUAAACUAAGCAUGACUCAUGACAGCAUUGCCUUUGUCCGUGCUUUUCCUUCUCAUAUCUUGCCUGGCUCCGUCAAGAUUAGUAUUUGUGAGCUCUAUCAGUCCGGGCUCAGCUGGGGGAAAGAGAAACUAUGCCGGCUGAUUGUAGCAGGAACCAAAUCAGGGGCUUACAAAGUCAUUGGAAGGGUUGGAGGAGUGGGUUCUGAGUUGUGGCCCCCAGGAAUGAUCAGGAACACCUCCAGGAGACCUGUGAUCUGGACAUCAAUGGCCACACCCUUGUUCCCCGAAGGGGUGCCCGCAAUGCUGGAAUGCUGCUGCAAAAUACAGUUUUUCUUGACCUUGCUUGUCCCCACAGGACGCCACCCCAUCUCACCUGCUCCUCCCAGAUCUUGGGCCACAGCACCUAAUGGUCAGAUCCUAAUUCACAUCCAGAAAUGUAGGGGCAAAGGAGGGUGCGAGUGUACUUCUCCGUUUUCCAGCAUGUGAGUGUGAAAUGACUUUUCCCUGGGUGUGGAGUCUAUAAAUUUACCUCUGAAGCCCUGGAAACCAGAAGUGGUUGCCUGUGAUGAGUGCCUGCAUCUGACUCCAAGUGCUCUGUGUUUGGCCGCUGCUGAAGUGAAAUCCACUUUUUCUGCAGGAAGUGCGAAACUCCGGUGCGUUAUAGGAAGUAAGAGCUUCCGCGUAUUCUCUUGAGAAUAAUGAGCACUUCCUGGAGGAAACAAUAUAACUUAAUACAUUCAAUAAAGAACCAACUGCUUAAGAGCAAACUCAGAGGUAAGGAGCAUUUGAGAAGAUGCCUCACUUCACGAAUAAUUAAAAGCAAAUCAAAAGCAAGAGUGGUUCAUCAGCGCAAUAACAAGGAACAGGCUCCGGAGUGUCCACUCGCCUCCGGUACUUUCGCUGCGAGUGCCUUGGCCGUAGACAUCUUUGCUGCAAACGUUUUUUGUCACAUAACUGUUUGGCAGUUAGGCGAUUUUGCCAUACAAGAGAGCGAGCGGGGAGAGGAGUAGAGGAGGAGGACGAGGGACAAGCCAACUCUGCACUGAACGCGGAGCCCGACCCUGAGAUCACCGCUUUAGCUGAAACCAAGAGUCAGAUGCUUCACUGACUGAGCCACCCAGGUGCCCCUGAAAAGAAAUUUUAAUGCAAAAAAAAAAAGCGUGAUGCAGAAUCAGGAGAUGAAUCAACAGGUGAAUUAAAAAAAUGCAUACUGUAGUUCCCCCUUAUCUGGAGUUUCGCCUUCCAGAGUUUCGGUUCCCCCUCGGUUGGUUUCAUUUGCCCUUGUCAAUCAACACUGGCAAGAGCAGAUGAUUCUCCUCCUACGUCAUGACGUCAUCACAAGAGGAAAGGCUCUUUUGUGUUAUUAAUUCUAAAAAUUUUCGACUGAUCCCUAUUUUCUGGCUGUGAAAUUACAUUUCCACCAGUGAGAAUAAUAUUGCCUGUCUGGAUCUAGAUCACGAAAAGAUUUCAACCUAAAAUGGAGUCAAAGGAUAUGAAGUGGAGAAUCUCACCCAUGUGCCCCAGAAAAACAAGACUUAAGAACCAAGAGACUGAUUUCCAUUAAAUGCCUGACUUACAGAGGACAAGACUUAUCUCCUGAUUAAUGAACAUCUGCCAAGAAUCUCUCCCUAUCCUCCAGCCAAUGAACCCAUUGCUUGGACUCGGGUUGGACUUGCCCUCAAUGCACUCCUCUACUGUAAAUACAGCCCACUCCAAGCCCUCAGGGGACUCCCCUGUAGCUUGUGUUUCUUGAAUUGCAGUUCCUCUGCUAUUCCUAGAUAAACUCAAAUUUCUGGUAAUUUGAGCUUGCCUCAGUUUACCCCCUUAUUUAGGUUGACGUUCAAUGGUGUCAGAAGUGAGAUCGGAAAGAGACAACCCUCCAACCCCGGUGGGAAGAGGAGCCUCAGAAUCAAGCAAGGUGCCUGCACUGAGCCCCUUGAGCUCCACGCUUUCACGAGUGACAUUCUGCUUCCGGUUUUGUGAGUCUCCUCUUGAAUUUCAAGCUCCCUCCUUUUGGUUGAGCUCUCUGACUUUUUUUGGGAUUUGGAUAAGGACAGAUUGUCCUUCUGGUGAGUACUCUUUUGGUUUCUGAAUUUAGAAUGUGCUUGGUUUAUGAAUUAGAAUGUGCUUGGUCUCGAUUUAAACUUGUGAAUUUUCCUGAGAGCAAGACUAGAACCAAGGCCAAUGCGCACGGGUGCUGCUCGAGGACUUGCCACCUUUCUAGGAGAGACAACCAUCUCUGAAGCACAACAUUACUGUGUAAAGAUAAGGUGAUCACGGACCAGGAAGUUUCAUGUUAGGUCACUCGCCACCAACAAGAAAAUUCGGUGCAACAAGGGACACCUGGUGACAGGUCAGAUAAAUAGGGCAGAAGCCGUCUGUCAGGAGAAAGGUGUAUCCCGUGAAAGGCAGGCUGUCAAACAAAACUGACAUCUCAACCCCAAGCGUGUCUGCUAGGCUAUCUAAGAAUUUUUUUCCUUUGCUCUCAGGAAAACUCCAAAAAUGGGAUCCUAGGCAUCUAAAUGUUUUAAAGAUGGCCCCCUCCUUAGCAACGAUGGUUGAUUUUAUGUUAAAGAAAUUAUGGUCUUUCCUCAUGUGCUUGGACCAAUCUUACUGAAGACAACCUAGGACAAUGACCAUUAUGAGGAACAUUCCAAUUAGACAAGGUCAUUUAUUUAAACAAUGCACUCGGAAGCAAGGGUUCCCAAAUCAGAAGAACAGAAUGGGACACCUAUUUUAAUCGACAUGUAGAAGCCACCAAAAGCCUUCAAAUUUCGAAAUGGUUUCAUUGAAGUAUUCACUGCAAAAGGCAAAUGAAGAAUUAAAGGCAUAAAAGUGACUCAAACAAAAGACCAGGAGACUGAUGUCACUCCUACUGCCCCCUCUAUGCUUCUCUACGUAGGGACUAGUUCUCCUAGUCCUCCGUCUGGUUGGUCUUUCCACUCUGAAGAGACUACAUGACUGUAAACAAAAGUCCGAUGUUGACGGUCUCACGGAUGCCCCCAUGUCCAUCCUCAAAGGAGAGCACCCCCCUCAUGGGUCCCUCCCAGGGCUGAUGGGAUCUGAGGGAUUUUCUGGUUAACUGCCACCAGUGAUUUACCUGAACAGUCAAGGGAAAUCUGCAGUUAGUGGAAAAUCUUGCCAAUCUCUGGUAGCUACCAGAGCCACACUCUCUGCUUUAAACCCUACUUGCUUUGGAUCCUGUAGAUGGGAUCCCAGGAAAGCGGGCAGUGGCCCUCAGAGGGUGAGAAUUCUCACGGGGCCAGCUCUCCUGAAUGUCUGUCCGUACUGCUCAGGUGAGAGAGCAAGGCAAAAUUUCACAUUGUCUCUUCCCUUCCAAAUCCAAAUCCAUUGGUUAUGGAUCUUUUUUCUCCCCCGCCCGGAGUAAGUGUUACUUUCUUGUCUGUCUUGUUUUGUGUCCUGAGAACUUGGCUUGGCAACCAUUAGGUUGGGGGCCCCCAAAUAUGGCCAGACACAAAUGUGGGUUGCAACCCCUUUGCUGGCAGGGUCUAUUGAUGGCCCCCCGGGGAACUUACCAAAUAAGGCUUUCUUUCAUUUAGUUAUCUUUGGGAGUGGCUCUGAAUCUUUGGCAGGUAUCAUCUUUUGCAGUCCUUGCGGGAAUGCCUCUUGGGUCCAUGGCGUUAAUACUGCCAGGAAUAUUUACUGUUUGUCCUGGCUGAAACCUGACAAGAUAUUUGAGAGGAUUUUUUAAGUAGCUCUAUGGUCAGAAGUUGGUCGAAUUGCAGGCUGAUAAAAUCUUAUCUACAUGUAUGCAUAGAUCUAUUUCUAUCUCUGUAUCUAUCUGUGUAUCCAUCUACCUACCUGUUUACCUGUUAUGUAUAACUUUUAUUUCUAUCUCGGGUCUUAAUGCGUUGGUUGGAAAUGCCCAGAACAAUGUUCACCAAUUAUGAGAUAAUUGGCUUUAUCUUUUAUUCCUGUUUUCACCUGGAAGACCUCUGAUAUUUCACUAUCGUGUAAUGAUGUUUGCAGAUUUAAGAGAUUUAUGGGGUUUUUUGUUUAUUUUUGUUUUGUUUGUUUGUUUUAUUUUUUCCUGGACCUCAGGUGCAAGCAUGUGUUAUGUAUGUAUUUAUCCUGGGUGUGUCUCUCUCUCCCAAACUGACCCUACUGAUAUGUUGGAUGUGUAUCUUUUUAUAUGUAUUUCUACAAACCCACAUUGUUGUU
Molecule: RNA transcript, 4243 nt
Organism: Ailuropoda melanoleuca (giant panda)
Lineage: Eukaryota; Metazoa; Chordata; Mammalia; Carnivora; Ursidae
Gene: BNIP5
Gene name: BCL2 interacting protein 5
Exons: 4
Source: RefSeq, a predicted model, not a curated record